Molecule: ribosomal RNA, 186 nt
Filed under: uncultured bacterium
Lineage: Bacteria
Description: partial 16S ribosomal RNA
Rfam family: Bacterial small subunit ribosomal RNA
Source: RNAcentral
CCUACGGGUGGCAGCAGUGGGGAAUAUUGGACAAUGGGCGCAAGCCUGAUCCAGCCAUGCCGCGUGUGUGAAGAAGGCCUUUUGGUUGUAAAGCACUUUAAGCGAGGAGGAGGCUACUUGGAUUAAUACUCUAGGAUAGUGGACGUUACUCGCAGAAUAAGCACCGGCUAACUCUGUGCCAGCAGC